CUACUACCGAUUGAAUGGCUCAGUGAAGGCCUCCGGACUGAGCUUGGGGAGGUUGGCAACGACCACCCUGAGCCGAGAAAGUUCGUCAAACUCGGUCAUUUAGAGGAAGUAAAAGUCGUAACAAGGUU
Molecule: ribosomal RNA, 128 nt
Filed under: uncultured eukaryote
Lineage: Eukaryota
Description: partial 18S ribosomal RNA
Rfam family: Eukaryotic small subunit ribosomal RNA
Source: RNAcentral